AGUGAACGCUGGCGGUAGGCCUAACACAUGCAAGUCGAACGGCAGCACAGUAAGAGCUUGCUCUUACGGGUGGCGAGUGGCGGACGGGUGGGGAAUACAUCGGAAUCUACUUUUUCGUGGGGGAUAACGUAGGGAAACUUACGCUAAUACCGCAUACGACCUACGGGUGAAAGCAGGGGAUCUUCGGACCUUGCGCGAUUGAGUGAGCCGAUGUCGGAUUAGCUAGUUGGCGGGGUAAAGGCCCACCAAGGCGACGAUCCGUAGCUGGUCUGAGAGGAUGAUCAGCGACACUGGAACUGAGACACGGUCCCGACUCCUACGGGAGGCAGCAGUGGGGAAUAUUGGACAAUGGGCGCAAGCCUGAUCCAGCCAUACCGCGUGGGUGAAGAAGGCCUUCGGGUUGUAAAACCCUUUUGUUGGGAAAGAAAAGCAGCAGGUGAAUACCACGCUGUUCUGACGGUACCCAAAGAAUAAGCACCGGCUAACUUCGUG
Molecule: ribosomal RNA, 492 nt
Filed under: uncultured bacterium
Lineage: Bacteria
Description: partial 16S ribosomal RNA
Rfam family: Bacterial small subunit ribosomal RNA
Source: RNAcentral